UACGAAGGGUGCGAGCGUUGUUCGGAAUUACUGGGCGUAAAGGGCGCGUAGGCGGCGACCCAAGUCAGAUGUGAAAGUCCUGGGCUUAACCUGGGGACUGCAUUUGAUACUGGGUUGCUUGAAUUCGGGAGAGGAUAGCGGAAUUCCCAGUGUAGAGGUGAAAUUCGUAGAUAUUGGGAAGAACACCGGUGGCGAAGGCGGCUAUCUGGACCGACAUUGACGCUGAGGCGCGAAAGCGUGGGGAGCAAACAGG
This 253-nucleotide ribosomal RNA is filed under the name uncultured bacterium. RNAcentral describes it as "partial 16S ribosomal RNA". It matches the Rfam family "Bacterial small subunit ribosomal RNA", at positions 524 to 776 of the family's 1533-position model. The record is from RNAcentral.